AGACCGAUAGCAAACAAGUACCGUGAGGGAAGAUUGAAAAGAACUUUGAAGAGAGAGUUCAAUAGUACGUGAAACUGUGUGGUGGUAAACGGAGGGGUUCUCGAAGUUUCUGAGGGGAACUCAACCUUGGUGUUGGGCGGCCUGGGCGUAUCCGAUCAGCAAUGACUGUGCGCUCUGUCCGGCUCGGCUCUCGGGUGCAUUUCCCCCUCAGUUUACGACAGGAACCGUUUGGUGCGGACCGAAGGCCUCGGGUGAAGUUGUCGCUUAUGGUGGCAGCCCUGUGUGUCCUGGCUCUGCGCCCGACGGGUAUGUGAGAGGACUCGUAUAGCGAGCAAUGCUCUGUUGCGGUUCUCAUCUCUCUGUCGAGUAGGUCGGCGGCCCCUCCGACCCGUCUUGAAACACGGAC
RNAcentral lists this ribosomal RNA (406 nucleotides) under Scolecithrix bradyi. Its description in RNAcentral is "eukaryotic LSU rRNA". It matches the Rfam family "Eukaryotic large subunit ribosomal RNA", at positions 331 to 666 of the family's 3401-position model. Lineage: Eukaryota; Metazoa; Arthropoda; Copepoda; Calanoida; Scolecitrichidae. The record is from RNAcentral.